Molecule: ribosomal RNA, 481 nt
Filed under: uncultured bacterium
Lineage: Bacteria
Description: partial 16S ribosomal RNA
Rfam family: Bacterial small subunit ribosomal RNA
Source: RNAcentral
GAUGAACGCUGGCGGCGUGCUUAACACAUGCAAGUCGAACGAAGCACUUUAUUUGAUUUCCUUCGGGACUGAUUAUUUUGUGACUGAGUGGCGGACGGGUGAGUAACGCGUGGGUAACCUGCCUUGUACAGGGGGAUAACAGUUGGAAACGGCUGCUACUACCGCAUAAGCGCACGGCAUCGCAUGAUGCAGUGUGAAAAACUCCGGUGGUAUAAGAUGGACCCGCGUUGGAUUAGCUAGUUGGUGAGGUAACGGCCCACCAAGGCGACGAUCCAUAGCCGACCUGAGAGGGUGACCGGCCACAUUGGGACUGAGACACGGCCCAAACUCCGACGGGAGGCAGCAGUGGGGAAUAUUGCACAAUGGGCGAAAGCCUGAUGCAGCGACGCCGCGUGAGAGAAGAAGUAUUUCGGUAUGUAAAGCUCUAUCAGCAGGGAAGAGAAUGACGGUACCUGACUAAGAAGCACCGGCUAAAUACGUG